CAGCCGUAAACAAUGUGCGUUAGGUGUGUCGGUAACCACGUGUUACUGAUGCGCCGAAGAGAAAUCGUGAAACGCACCACCUGGGAAGUACGGUCGCAAGGCUGAAACUUAAAGGAAUUGGCGGGGGAGCACAACAACGGGUGGAGCCUGCGGUUUAAUUGGACUCAACGCCGGACAACUCACCGGGGACGACAGCAAUAUGUAGGCCAGGCUGAAGACCUUGCCUGAAUCGCUGAGAGGAGGUGCAUGGCCGUCAGUGACU
This 262-nucleotide ribosomal RNA is filed under the name uncultured archaeon. Its description in RNAcentral is "partial 16S ribosomal RNA". It matches the Rfam family "Archaeal small subunit ribosomal RNA", at positions 748 to 1009 of the family's 1478-position model. The record is from RNAcentral.